RNAcentral lists this ribosomal RNA (253 nucleotides) under uncultured bacterium. Its description in RNAcentral is "partial 16S ribosomal RNA". It matches the Rfam family "Bacterial small subunit ribosomal RNA", at positions 524 to 776 of the family's 1533-position model. The record is from RNAcentral.
UACGUAGGGUGCUAGCGUUGUCCGGAUUUAUUGGGCGUAAAGAGCUCGUAGGCGGUUUGUCGCGUCUGCCGUGAAAGUCCGGGGCUCAACUCCGGAUCUGCGGUGGGUACGGGCAGACUAGAGUGCAGUAGGGGAGACUGGAAUUCCUGGUGUAGCGGUGAAAUGCGCAGAUAUCAGGAGGAACACCGAUGGCGAAGGCAGGUCUCUGGGCUGUAACUGACGCUGAGGAGCGAAAGCAUGGGGAGCGAACAGG